CCUACGGGUGGCAGCAGUGAGGAAUAUUGGUCAAUGGGCGCGAGCCUGAACCAGCCAAGUAGCGUGAAGGAUGACUGCCCUACGGGUUGUAAACUUCUUUUAUAAAGGAAUAAAGUGAGGCACGUGUGCCUUUUUGUAUGUACUUUAUGAAUAAGGAUCGGCUAAUUCCGUGCCAGCAGCCGCGGUAAUACGGAGGGUCCGAGCGUUAUCCGGAUUUAUUGGGUUUAAAGGGAGCGUAGAUGGGUUGUUAAGUCAGUGGUGAAAUGUUGCGGCUCAACCGUAAAAUUGCAAUUGAUACUGGCAGGCUUGAGUACAGUUAAGGUAGGCGGAAUUCGUGGUGUAGCGGUGAAAGGCUUAGAUAUCACGAAGAACUCCGAUUGCGAAGGCAGCAUACUAAACUGCCACUGACAUUGAUGCUCGAAAGUGUGGGUAUCAAACAGGAUUAGAUACCCUAGUAGUC
This 460-nucleotide ribosomal RNA is filed under the name uncultured bacterium. RNAcentral's name for it is "partial 16S ribosomal RNA". It matches the Rfam family "Bacterial small subunit ribosomal RNA", at positions 338 to 795 of the family's 1533-position model. The record is from RNAcentral.